Temnothorax curvispinosus is the source of this 552-nucleotide long non-coding RNA. RefSeq lists it as uncharacterized. Lineage: Eukaryota; Metazoa; Arthropoda; Insecta; Hymenoptera; Formicidae. The transcript is spliced from 3 exons. The record is from RefSeq and is a predicted model, not a curated record.
GUGCUUGGUCUGCAUUGAAAUGUGGUGUAAUUAAAAAUGGAAUUAUUUCAAACAAUACCGUUGUAAAUUAAUCUUGUGCAGAGAAGUCACAGUAUUUAAAUAAUGCUUGCUAUAAAUCUGCAUUAAGGGGCACAACUAGUGUGACACUUUUGAAAAAUCGAUUUUUUUUUGCAUUUUUCGAUAGUCUAUAGCUUCAAGAAUAACAUACUAAAAUUUUAAGAGUGGAUCUCAAAUAGUUUUUGAACGGCAGCCUUUUAAAGAGUAGCUGCUCGUCGGUCAGAAACGUGCAUAAGCUUCGAAAGAGGGUCGAUUAGCUCGAAGGAAAGCUUCAGCAACCCAGCAGGUACUUUUCGAGGAAGAGGAAGGUGAAUUAUAUGGGCCUGGAAUAGCAGAUUAGCUGCACUCUGAAGGCCGCAAUCACUGCAGCAGUGGGAGAACUUUUUUUUUUGGAGACUCGGGAGAUGACACAUAAGUCGCUGAAAAUUGAUUAUUUUCAUACAAAAAAAUUACUGCACAUAGAUCAUUUAUACACAAAUAUAUUCUCAAAAUUUC